Long non-coding RNA from Nerophis ophidion (straightnose pipefish), 467 nucleotides. RefSeq lists it as uncharacterized. The transcript is spliced from 4 exons. Lineage: Eukaryota; Metazoa; Chordata; Actinopteri; Syngnathiformes; Syngnathidae. The record is from RefSeq and is a predicted model, not a curated record.
CUGUUGAGGUUCCAUCUCAACAUUCUCCAGAUUCAGAUGUGAGCCAUUAACUGACUUCAUCCCUCCAACAGAAACCAACUGUUGAGGUUCUAUCUCAACAUUCUCUAGAUUCAGAUGACAGCCAUAAACCGACUUCAUCCCUCCAACAGAUUGAAAGCAGGACAAAUCGCUGGAAGUGGGUAUGUCUCAAGCUUCUUCCACUUGGUCCACUCCAAAGCGGGGGGAAGAAGUGGAAGCAGUUGAAUGACACAUGUUGCAUUUUGUAACUGGCAACAAAGUACCAGGUAAAAAAGAUUGUGAAGCCUGCCUCCAUAAAGAACUAGUAGCUCUACAGGACAGAGAUUGGCUUGCCAUCAAGUACUACAUCCAUAACAGAAUUAUAUUAAAAAAAGGGAAAAAAAAUGUUUUCCCACAUCUUCUGUGGUAGUUUGAGUAUGUUACCAGCAAUUAAAAAAGCAAAAUAAACA